UACGUAGGGUGCGAGCGUUGUCCGGAUUUACUGGGCGUAAAGCGUGCGCAGGCGGUUCGCCAAGUCAGGUGUGAAAUCCCCGGGCUUAACCUGGGAAUUGCGCUUGAAACUAGCGGGCUUGAGUGUGGCAGAGGGGGGUGGAAUUCCACGUGUAGCAGUGAAAUGCGUAGAGAUGUGGAGGAACACCGAUGGCGAAGGCAGCCCCCUGGGUCAACACUGACGCUCAUGCACGAAAGCGUGGGGAGCAAACAGG
RNAcentral lists this ribosomal RNA (253 nucleotides) under uncultured bacterium. Its description in RNAcentral is "partial 16S ribosomal RNA". It matches the Rfam family "Bacterial small subunit ribosomal RNA", at positions 524 to 776 of the family's 1533-position model. The record is from RNAcentral.